AGUGAACGCUGGCGGUAGGCCUAACACAUGCAAGUCGAACGGCAGCACAGUAAGAGCUUGCUCUUACGGGUGGCGAGUGGCGGACGGGUGAGGAAUACAUCGGAAUCUACUUUUUCGUGGGGGAUAACGUAGGGAAACUUACGCUAAUACCGCAUACGACCUACGGGUGAAAGCAUGGGAUCUUCGGACCUUGCGCGAUUGAAUGAGCCGAUGUCGGAUUAGCUAGUUGGCGGGGUAAAGGCCCACCAAGGCGACGAUCCGUAGCUGGUCUGAGAGGAUGAUCAGCCACACUGGAACUGAGACACGGUCCAGACUCCUACGGGAGGUAGCAGUGGGGAAUAUUGGACAAUGGGCGAAAGCCUGAUCCAGCCAUACCGCGUGGGUGAAGAAGGCCUUCGGGUUGUAAAGCCCUUUUGUUGGGAAAGAAAAGCAGCAGGUUAAUACCCCGCUGUUCUGACGGUACCAAAAGAAUAAGCACCGGCUAACUUCGUG
This 492-nucleotide ribosomal RNA is filed under the name uncultured bacterium. RNAcentral describes it as "partial 16S ribosomal RNA". It matches the Rfam family "Bacterial small subunit ribosomal RNA", at positions 29 to 507 of the family's 1533-position model. The record is from RNAcentral.